UGCUCUGUGCACAGACGGAGGAAGAGGCAACACAGCAGGCUGACAAAGUGAAUUCAAAAAGAAAUAUUGCUGAAGUUCAAAAGAAGACACUUACUGACACUGGCAAUGUUUACCAGAUAUUGGUCAUGGUGUUUUCUGCUUACAAUGGCUGUCUUCUGUACUGGAGAUCAGUCAUGUGACUGUCAAUGUGAAUCUGAUUGGAGCGCCUGCACCGCUUCUUGUGGUGGUGGACUGCAGACUAGAAGCUGUAGUGACUCAAGCAUCGUCACGCGGGUGUGCAACCCUCAAG
Molecule: long non-coding RNA, 289 nt
Organism: Lingula anatina
Lineage: Eukaryota; Metazoa; Brachiopoda; Lingulata; Lingulida; Lingulidae
Source: RefSeq, a predicted model, not a curated record